UGGGAGCACGUACCAUGUAUUCAGCAACGUCAAGCAUGUUAAAAUUGGAAUUUUCCCUGUUACAAGCGAGUUAAUCUACUGGUUUGUAACCCGAAGGUGGACGUCUGAAGGUAAUUAAUUAAUCUCAACAUCCCUUCCAUUGGUAGAUGUUCACUUCUUUAGUUAUUUUUCAUGAUCAUUUGCUGACAGAUUCAAAGAUUUCAAGAGAUCGAAUGCUUAUAAAAGAAUCAACAGUGGAAUUACUGAAGAAUUUUCCACAGGAAAUAGUAGAGCUGAUAGAGUAUAGUGACCUGGAAUCGUUGCAUCUAACAGAUUUGAGAUACAGAUCGCCAUGGGAAGUGCUGAUGACGAACUUCAGAAAAGGGACAAUGACAGUGGCCGGAGAUGCCAUGCAUGCAAUGUGUCCAUUUCUGGCACAAGCAGGAUCAGCUUCUCUGGAAGAUGCAGUGGUGCUUGCUAGAUGUUUAGGAGAAAAGCUGCAGAGUAAAGCAAUGGCGGACACACGUGUGAAAGAAAUGGUGGAGAAAGGAAUAGAUGAGUAUUUGAACAAAAGGAAAAUGAGAGUCUUCUGGUUGUGUCUGCAAACUGACCUUGUCGGUAGAGUCAUCCAGCCUUCAUCAUUGCCUAUGAAAUUGUUGAGUGCUUUCUUCCUAACCAUUCUCUUUAGUGAUCCAAAUCAGCAUACACGCUAUGAUUGUUGCGAGUCCUAGGAACAUAAUUACUUGUUUGACUAACCCACUAAUGCUAAGUUUGUGGAGGAUGUUUGGGAAAUCAGAAUUACAAAAUGGCCUGAUGAGAAAGGUAUUGUGAGAAGAGAA
RNAcentral lists this long non-coding RNA (818 nucleotides) under Manihot esculenta (cassava). RNAcentral's name for it is "long non-coding RNA (MESC_LNC007001)". The record is from RNAcentral. Lineage: Eukaryota; Viridiplantae; Streptophyta; Magnoliopsida; Malpighiales; Euphorbiaceae.